GUCGAGGGGUAACAGGGAGUGCUUGCACUCUGCUGACGACCGGCGCACGGGUGCGUAACGCGUAUGCAACCUACCUUCUACAGGGGGAUAGUCCAGAGAAAUUUGGCAUAAUACCCCAUACGAUCAUUUAUUGGCAUCGAUAGAUGAGGAAAACUCCGGUGGUAGAAGAUGGGCAUGCGUCCUAUUAGUUAGUUGGUAAGGUAACGGCUUACCAAGACAUCGAUAGGUAGGGGUCCUGAGAGGGAGAUCCCCCACACUGGUACUGAGACACGGACCAGACUCCUACGGGAGGCAGCAGUGAGGAAUAUUGGACAAUGGAGGCAACUCUGAUCCAGCCAUGCCGCGUGCAGGAAGACGGCCCUACGGGUUGUAAACUGCUUUUAUACAGGAAGAAACGCCGCUACGUGUAGCGGUUUGACGGUACUGUACGAAUAAGGAUCGGCUAACUCCGUGCCAGCAGCCGCGGUAAUACGGAGGAUCCAAGCGUUAUCCGGAAUCAUUGGGUUUAAAGGGUCCGUAGGCGGUUUUUUAAGUCAGAGGUGAAAUCCUGCAGCUCAACUGUAGCAUUGCCUUUGAUACUGAAAGACUUGAGUUAUUGUGAAGUAGUUAGAAUGUGUAGUGUAGCGGUGAAAUGCAUAGAUAUUACACAGAAUACCGAUUGCGAAGGCAGAUUACUAACAAUAUACUGACGCUGAGGGACGAAAGCGUGGGUAGCGAACAGGAUUAGAUACCCUGGUAGUCCACGCCGUAAACGAUGGAUACUAGCUGUUCGACCAACAUUGGUUGGUUGAGUGGCUAAGCGAAAGUGAUAAGUAUCCCACCUGGGGAGUACGCUCGCAAGAGUGAAACUCAAAGGAAUUUGACGGGGGCCCGCACAAGCGGUGGGAGCAUGUGGUUUAAUUCGAUGAUACGCGAGGAACCUUACCAGGGCUUAAAUGUAAGUUGCAUAGAUCAGAGAUGGUCUUU
Molecule: ribosomal RNA, 966 nt
Filed under: uncultured marine bacterium
Lineage: Bacteria
Description: bacterial SSU rRNA
Rfam family: Bacterial small subunit ribosomal RNA
Source: RNAcentral